UAUAGGCACGAAGAAGGAAGAAGGUGCAAGUCACUCGAAGGCAUAAGUAUCUCAAGAUCGCGGUAAAUCCUCAACUUAGGCGACUCGGCGAAAUGGAGCGAGCACGUGUCCAUGUCAUGUUAUACCAAAUGCUUCCGCUAGCUUAUGUUCAUCUUUAUGGUCCAUGACUUGUUAUUAUUUUUUUUUUCAACUUUGUUAGUAGUCGUACAUUUGUAAAGCUUGUCGUCUUGCUUUGAGUAGUUUAAGGUCAAACGGAUCGUAGUAUGUUGUUUAGUUUAUUAUGUUAAAAACAGGGGGCACGUUCGUUUUACGAACGGGUCAUGCCGAAUUUUUGUAAAAAUUUUACUAUGUAUCAAAGUUGGUAUUUUUGAUGUC
Helianthus annuus (common sunflower) is the source of this 375-nucleotide long non-coding RNA. RefSeq lists it as uncharacterized. The record is from RefSeq and is a predicted model, not a curated record. The transcript has 2 exons. NCBI's taxonomy places the organism in Eukaryota, Viridiplantae, Streptophyta, Magnoliopsida, Asterales, Asteraceae.